This 439-nucleotide ribosomal RNA is filed under the name uncultured bacterium. RNAcentral describes it as "partial 16S ribosomal RNA". It matches the Rfam family "Bacterial small subunit ribosomal RNA", at positions 338 to 794 of the family's 1533-position model. The record is from RNAcentral.
CCUACGGGAGGCAGCAGUAAGGAAUCUUCCGCAAUGGGCGAAAGCCUGACGGAGCAACGCCGCGUGGGCGAUGAAGGCCUUCGGGUCGUAAAGCCCUUUUCUGUGGGACGAUAAUGACGGUACCACAGGAAUAAGCCACGGCUAACUACGUGCCAGCAGCCGCGGUAAUACGUAGGUGGCUAGCGUUAUCCGGAUUCACUGGGCGUAAAGCGCGCGCAGGUGGCCUGUCAAGUCGGACGUGAAAUCUCCCGGCUCAACUGGGAGGGGCCGUUCGAUACUGGCGGGCUUGAGGGCAGAAGGGGAAGGCGAAAUUCCCGGUGUAGUGGUGGAAUGCGUAGAUAUCGGGAGGAACACCAGUGGCGAAGGCGGCCUUCUGGUCUGCCCCUGACACUCAGGCGCGAAAGCGUGGGGAGCGAACGGGAUUAGAUACCCUAGUAGU